This 203-nucleotide unclassified non-coding RNA is filed under the name soil metagenome. Its description in RNAcentral is "partial contains 5.8S ribosomal RNA, internal transcribed spacer 2, and large subunit ribosomal RNA". The record is from RNAcentral.
AACCUAGCACACCUGCGGUGUGUACCUGCGGAAGGAUCAUUACCUAGAGUUGUAGGCUUUGCCUGCUAUCUCUUACCCAUGUCUUUUGAGUACCUUACGUUUCCUCGGUGGGUUCGCCCGCCGGUUGGACAAAACUUAAACCCUUUGUAGUUGCAAUCAGCGUCUGAAAAAACUUAAUAGUUACAACUUUCAGCAACGGAUCU